CGCAGAGACGAUAUACGGCAGUCCUCUGUGAGACCUUGAAGGGAGAGGUGCCGCCGCCCGCCUCCCUCCCUGCCUCCCUCACUCCCUCUACCCGCCUCGCUGCCUCGCCGCUCCUCCACUAGAUACCGUGGCCCCACCAGCAGUCCUUGAAGAUGACCUUAAAUCCACAGUUCCAACAGAUCGGGGAGACCUUUGUCAAACAAUACUACCUUAUUUUUGACGGCGAGAGAGAAGGCAGGGAGAAGCUGGCAAACUUCUAUCACGCAGAACUGUCUUUAAUGUCCUUUGAGGGAGUCCAGGUGCAAGGCGCUGUUCAAAUCCUGGAGAAGAUUAAGAGCUUGACCUUCAACAAAAUAGCCCGAGCCAUCACUACUGUUGACUGCCAGCCUACGUUUGAUGGCGGUGUUUUAGUCAACAUUCUCGGACAGUUGAAGAUGGAUGAUGACCCUCCUCAUGGAUUCAAUCAAACCUUUGUGCUCAAACCUCUUGGCGACAGUUUCUUCGUCCAACACGACAUGUUUCGGCUGGCGCUCCACCACAUUGCGGUGUGAGUGGAGGGCCCGGUCACUGCAUCUUAAGGUGGCAAAGAGCAUCUGUAGUUGAUUCUCUGCUCCAUCAUCUUACUGGAAGAUGGAUGAGGACCCCGUACAUGGAUUUUCCCAGACAUUUGUCCUCAAACCUAUGAAUGACUCUUUCUUCAUCCAGCACGAUUCCUUCCGCCUGGUCAUCCAUAAUAACUAGAGCAUCACCCACCCACCUGCCCACCUGCCCCUCGAGCAGCUCACCACCACCCAGCAGCCCCUGGCUCAUCCUCACCAGUCAUGGCCUCGCACUCAGAGUCUUGUAGCGGCAGAGUCAGCAUCUGUUACUCAGUCAGGGUGGCGUACGUCCCAGGUGUGUCCCAGGGAAACUUGGGGGAACAGAGAAACUGGAGGAUGUGUUCACACUGUUUUGUUGAUGAUACUUCUUGCUAUGAUGCCUUGCUUCCCAUUAGAAGGAAAGGUGUGUGCAGCAUAUCAUGAUGACUUGUAACCUAAUGCCACUUCAGACUUUGUAGAUUCCUUACUGAUGUGAUGAGCUAGAGAGAGAAAGAGAGAGUGCACGUGCAAACUUGUGUUUGUGCGUGUGCAUAAGAGUAAGAGAGCUUACCUGAGCAAGAAAUGCCCUACAAGAUGCAGUCUUUUGAGUAUUUUGAGGUGUUGCUGCAGAGUUUUUAUAAUACUUACUAGUAAGUGUUACUAUUGAACUCACUAUGCUGCUUACUGAGCAUUGCUUGAAGGGGAACCUGUAGCUUGUUUUAAUUUUCCAUUUUUUCUGUUUUCUCAUGUAGUGCAAUGUGUAAUUUUGGGAAUGUUUUAUGGAGACAUUGUUUGGUCACUUGUCUCUUUUAAGCAUCAUUUGAAAUUUUUGACUGUGCUUUCCAUUGUGCUAUUGAGCUUCCUUCCACACUGGGCCUGUCACUGCUGCCUGAUGUGAUGCUGUUGUCCUGGUCGGUGCGUGAGGCCGGCUGACAGGCCAUCUUGGUGGACUUCAAGCUCUGCUGAAGAUCAUUGGGGCUGGCAGGGUUAAACUAUAGGCUCAAAAUGGUUCAUCUCAUUGUUAGUACUUAGCACCAACACAACCUUCUUGCCUUGUUGAUAGUAUUAAGUAUUGUCCAUGUAAUUAUUAUACUGUCAUAAGCCAGUUGCUAGGAGAUUGUUUCCAGCGAGUGGAAACUGAGUAUUUUGGAGGUCGUACAUGACAGUGAGGAAUGAUGAAUGUUUGUGGUCUCUGUGGGAGGGAGCUUCAUUUCUGUCCAUCUUACCAUCAUUUUCUGCUGAUUGGCUAAAAUGUUAUAAAGACUUAAAAUAUUCCCAGAUAAUUUUGUGUGGUAGCUUUUGGUAUGAAAUGAAUCAUAUCCGAACGAACAUGCUUUUUAAGAUAAGUUUUGUUUGUAAUUGAAGUUCCUUAGGUUUUGCUGAGCAACACGCUUCUCUCUCUGGUAACUCCCAAAAGAAGACAUUGGCAAGAGAUGUAUUGUCUCCAUUUCAUCAUCAUUUUGGAUAAAAAUGAAAUCAGUAAACACCACAUCAGAAUUGCUAGAAGUGCAUGUACCCAGUUGGUUAUCCAGUGACCUCAGUAUAGAUAUAAUGUAAUGUGCUGUUUUCUAUCUAAAUGAAUUUGUAUGAUGAUUUUGUAUGAAUUUUAUGCCUAGUACGUAUUGACUCACACAGGGUGGACUCGCUAUUUUGCAUGACUGAUUGGGAAACCUUGUUGUUAUUAUGGGAAUGUUAAGAGGAGAGGCACAAUGUUGGCAUUAACAUCAAGGACUGCCUUCUUUCUGAGUGCUAAAUAGACAUAGCAGAUGGAAAAUUUAGUGUUUUGUAUUGAAAUAACAUUGUAUCUUGGCAGUGUGGGGAGAAGAGUGUUUGUGUGAAUGGGUUGGUUUGGUGUGGGCUGACUCUGCAAGGCAUUUGGGACCAGGGCUGCCAUUCUCCUCUUGGAAAAAAAAGGAAGAAAAAUUAAAGCUACCAUUGCUGCAAGUUGAUCCAUUUGAUUGAAAUACAGUAAUUUUCUUAA
Scylla paramamosain (green mud crab) is the source of this 2559-nucleotide RNA transcript. It is a transcript of the gene named probable nuclear transport factor 2, with no coding region annotated. Lineage: Eukaryota; Metazoa; Arthropoda; Malacostraca; Decapoda; Portunidae. The transcript is spliced from 5 exons. The record is from RefSeq and is a predicted model, not a curated record.